Molecule: ribosomal RNA, 2537 nt
Filed under: Clostridiales bacterium
Lineage: Bacteria; Bacillati; Bacillota; Clostridia; Eubacteriales
Description: partial 23S ribosomal RNA
Rfam family: Bacterial large subunit ribosomal RNA
Source: RNAcentral
GAUCAAGCUAAUAAGAGCACAGGGAGGAUGCCUUGGCACCAGGCGCCGAAGAAGGACGUGACAAGCUGCGAAAAGCUGCGGGGAGCUGCAAAUGAGCGAUAUAUCCGCAGAUAUCCGAAUGAGGGAACUCACAUUGAGUAGCAUCAAUGUAGAUACGCGUGAACAAAAUAGCGCGUAUCGGGGAACCCGGGGAACUGAAACAUCUAAGUACCCGGAGGAAAAGAAAGAAAACAAUCGAUUCCCGAAGUAGUGGCGAGCGAAACGGGAAGAGCCUAAACCGCGGUAUGGAAACAUAGCGCGGGGUGAGGACUGUCGAGAACGCGAACGGAGCGGACGUAGUCGAACGUGUAUUGGAAAAGCAGACGAAACAGAGUAAAAGUCUCGUAGGCGAAACGGAAGCGAAGCGCAAGACAGAUCCCGAGUACCGCAGGACACGAGGAAUCCGGCGGGAAUAAAGGAGGACCAUCUCCUAAGGCUAAAUACGACCUGGUGACCGAUAGAGUAUAGUACCGUGAGGGAACGGUGAAAAGAACCCCGGGAGGGGAGUGAAAGAGAACCUGAAACCCUGUGCUUACAAGCAGACGGAGCGUUCGAAAGGGCGUGACGUCGUACUUUUUGUAGAACGGGCCUGCGAGUUACGUUGCGCAGCGAGGUUAAGGUAUUAAGUACCGGAGCCGAAGCGAAAGCGAGUUUUAAAAGAGCGUAGAGUUGCGUGACGUAGACCCGAAACCGGAUGACCUAUUCAUGGACAGGUUGAAGCCGUGGUAAGACACGGUGGAGGACCGAACCCACGCCUGUUGAAAAAGUCGGGGAUGAGCUGUGAAUAGCGGAGAAAUUCCAAUCGAAUCCGGAGAUAGCUGGUUCUCCUCGAAAUAGCUUUAGGGCUAGCCUCUGACGAGAAUACUGAAGGUAGAGCACUGAAUGGGCUAGGGGGCUUCACGGCUUACCGAACCUUAUCAAACUUCGAAUGAAAGAUAUUUGAUGUCAGGGAGUCAGACAGCGUGAGAUAAGUUUCGUUGUCGAAAGGGAAAAAGCCCGGACCUACAACUAAGGUCCCAAAGUUCAAGUUAAGUGGUAAAGGAUGUGACAUUGCUAAAACAACCGGGAUGUUGGCUUAGAAGCAGCCAAGCAUUUAAAGAGUGCGUAAUAGCUCACCGGUCGAGUGAUGCCGCGCCGAAGAUACACGGGGCUAAAACUUGACGCCGAAGUUUAGGAAUAAUGUAAUAAUUAUUGGUAGAGGAGCAAUGUGUAUAGGCUGAAGCCCGGUCGGAAGGCAGGGUGGACAAUACACAAGAGAGAAUGCAGGCAUAAGUAGCGAAAGCAUGGUGAGAAACCAUGCCGUCGAAAGCCUAAGGUUUCCUGGGGAAGGUUCGUCCGCCCAGGGUAAGUCGGGACCUAAGUCGAGGGCGAAAGCCGUAGAUGAUGGACAGCCGGUUGAUAUUCCGGCACCGAAUUUUUGCCGCAUAAAUGAUGCAAUGACACGGGAGGAUAGUCUGAGCGCGCUGAUGGACAAGCGCGUACAGAGGACGAGUGUGGAACGCAGUGAAGUACGCGUUUCGUAUAAGCAUGGGUCUGAUGGACAAGUUGAAUGACGGAAACAGACGAAUUCACACCGGCGAGAAAAGUUGCUAAAUAGGCAGGAAGCGCCCGUACCGCAAACCGACACAGGUAGGCGAGGAGAAAAUCCUAAGACGAACGGGAGAACCCUUGUUAAGGAACUCUGCAAAAUGACCCCGUAACUUCGGAAGAAGGGGAGCCCAUAGCGAUAUGGGUCGCAGUAAAGAGGCCCAAGCGACUGUUUACCAAAAACACAGGUCUCUGCGAAAUCGUAAGAUGACGUAUAGGGGCUGACGCCUGCCCAGUGCCGGAAGGUUAUAGGGAAGUGUUAGAGCGAUCGAAGCACCGAACUUAAGCCCCGGUGAACGGCGGCCGUAACUAUAACGGUCCUAAGGUAGCGAAAUUCCUUGUCGGGUAAGUUCCGACCCGCACGAAUGGCGUAACGACUUGGGCGCUGUCUCAACAGGUGGCCCGGCGAAAUUGUAGUAUACGUGAAGAUGCGUAUUACCCGCGACUGGACGGAAAGACCCCGUAGAGCUUUACUGUAGCUUGAUAUUGGAUUUCGGUAAUUGAUGUACAGGAUAGGUGGGAGACAUGGAAGCUCGGGCGUCAGCUUGAGCGGAGUCGCCGUUGGGAUACCACCCUUUAAUUACUGAGGUUCUAACGCCGUGCCGUGAACCGGGCGGGGGACAGUGUCAGGCGGACAGUUUGACUGGGGCGGUCGCCUCCAAAAGAGUAACGGAGGCGUUCAAAGGUUCCCUCAGGAUGGUUGGAAAUCAUCCAAAGAGUGUAAAGGCAGAAGGGAGCUUAACUGAGAGACGCACAGGUCGAUCAGAUACGAAAGUAGGACUUAGUGAUCCGGCGGUAGAGAAUGGAAUUGCCGUCGCUUAACGGAUAAAAGUUACCUCGGGGAUAACAGGCUUAUCUCCCCCAAGAGUUCACAUCGACGGGGAGGUUUGGCACCUCGAUGUCGGCUCGUC